Gossypium arboreum is the source of this 273-nucleotide long non-coding RNA. RefSeq lists it as uncharacterized. The record is from RefSeq and is a predicted model, not a curated record. The transcript is spliced from 2 exons. Lineage: Eukaryota; Viridiplantae; Streptophyta; Magnoliopsida; Malvales; Malvaceae.
AGCAGGUCUCCUAUGCUGGUUUUUCAUAUUUUUGCACCAUAUCAAGAAUCCAAAGAAGAACGAGGAAAAGAAAAAGUAAAGGACUAAAUUGUAAGGUUUAGUUACAUUUUGUAUCAAGUACUUAUCUAGUCACUCGAGGAUCGAAGGAAAUGUCGGAGGCCGAUCACACUAUCAAAGAAAUAACUCGGUAUAACUAGACGUUUUGUUUUGGGUAUGGCAUGUAUAGAAACUUAGCUACUUUUGGUAUAAUAUGAAUAAUGAAUGAUGUGUAAA